CUUCUAGAUCUCACAACCAACAUAGAAAAUAGAGCAUGAGACUGAUGAUUCAGAUGCAAAAUCAAACAAAAUAUAACCAACAAAAUCAAAAUAUAACCAAAAAAAAAAAAGACAAGAUGAAGCCGAGAUAUUAUACCCACGACAUAUCAUAACCAGAAGCUUGCAACAAGAAGCCAAUAAUACACGAUCAGAGGCAAGGAAUAGAGACCCCGAGAGGAAAUUUUUCUUCUACACCGCACAACAAAGAUAGAAAAUACAUCAUCAUAGUCUCGUUUCAGAUCCAAAACCAAACAAAAUUUAACCAACAAAAGCAU
Molecule: long non-coding RNA, 314 nt
Organism: Juglans microcarpa x Juglans regia
Lineage: Eukaryota; Viridiplantae; Streptophyta; Magnoliopsida; Fagales; Juglandaceae
Exons: 2
Source: RefSeq, a predicted model, not a curated record